GAUGAAGAACGCAGCGAAAUGCGAUAAGUAAUGUGAAUUGCAGAAUUCAGUGAAUCAUCGAAUCUUUGAACGCACCUUGCGCUCCUUGGUAUUCCGAGGAGCAUGCCUGUUUGAGUGUCAUUAAUAUAUCAACCUCUUCAGCUUAUGCUUGUUGAGUGUUGGAUGGUGGGGGUUUGCUGGUGUCUUAUGAAGUCAGCUCCUCAGAAAUGCAUUAGCGGAACAAUUUGUUGACCGUUCAUUGGUGUGAUAAAAAUAUCUACGCUAUUGACGUCAGUCAGUUCAGCUUCUAACAGUCCAUUGACUUGGACAAAUUUUUCAUUAAUGUGACCUCAAAUCAGGUAGGACUACCCGCUGAACUUAAGCAUAUCAAUAAGCGGAGGA
RNAcentral lists this unclassified non-coding RNA (381 nucleotides) under soil metagenome. Its description in RNAcentral is "partial contains 5.8S ribosomal RNA, internal transcribed spacer 2, and large subunit ribosomal RNA". The stretch from base 1 to 120 matches the Rfam family "5.8S ribosomal RNA", at positions 35 to 154 of the family's 154-position model. The record is from RNAcentral.